RNAcentral lists this ribosomal RNA (54 nucleotides) under Sugiyamaella lignohabitans. RNAcentral's name for it is "partial 18S ribosomal RNA". Lineage: Eukaryota; Fungi; Ascomycota; Dipodascomycetes; Dipodascales; Trichomonascaceae. The record is from RNAcentral.
GCAAGACUUUCUUUCAUCCAACACCUGUGAAUUUAAAUUUUAUCUUGCUUUGGC